AUUGAACGCUGGCGGCAGGCCUAACACAUGCACGUCGAGCGAGCGGCGGACGGGUGGGUAAUGUAUGGGGACUGCCCGUUAGCGGGGGCUAACUACUGGAAACGGCAACUAAUACCGCAUACUAUCGGACGACCCAUAUGGGAUUAGCUCGUAGGUGAGGUAAUGGCUCACCUAGGCGACGAUCCCUAGCCGGGCUGAGAGGAUGAUCAGCAACACUGGGACAGAGACACGGCCCAGACUCCGACGGAGGCAGCAGUAGGGAAUAUUGCACAAUGGGCGCAAGCCUGAUGCAGCCAUGCCGCGUGUAUGAAGAAGGCCCUAGGGUUGUAAAGUACUUUCAGUCGGGAGGCGUUACCGACAGAAGAAGCACCGGCUAACUCCGUGCCAGCAGCCGCGGUAAUUC
This 403-nucleotide ribosomal RNA is filed under the name uncultured bacterium. RNAcentral describes it as "partial 16S ribosomal RNA". It matches the Rfam family "Bacterial small subunit ribosomal RNA", at positions 30 to 526 of the family's 1533-position model. The record is from RNAcentral.